CAACAGUAUCCCCUCCCUUAUAAGACAACAGCUUCCACCCACAAUGCUGGUACACAAUGGCCCAACAAAGGACAAGGAGAUGACCCUCCUGCCAUGAUGUCCUACAGACUCCUCAGAGAUCCAAGAACAAGAUCACAUAUUUUCUUCUAGCCUGAAGUUCAAGGAGUGACUCAACCUAUAGACUCUUGGCUAAGUAAAAGUAGAGAUGGUAGAAAGUA
Long non-coding RNA from Antechinus flavipes (yellow-footed antechinus), 218 nucleotides. RefSeq lists it as uncharacterized. The record is from RefSeq and is a predicted model, not a curated record. The transcript is spliced from 2 exons. NCBI's taxonomy places the organism in Eukaryota, Metazoa, Chordata, Mammalia, Dasyuromorphia, Dasyuridae.